RNAcentral lists this ribosomal RNA (460 nucleotides) under uncultured bacterium. RNAcentral describes it as "partial 16S ribosomal RNA". It matches the Rfam family "Bacterial small subunit ribosomal RNA", at positions 338 to 795 of the family's 1533-position model. The record is from RNAcentral.
CCUACGGGAGGCAGCAGUGAGGAAUAUUGGUCAAUGGGCGUAAGCCUGAACCAGCCAAGUCGCGUGAGGGAUGAAGGUUCUAUGGAUCGUAAACCUCUUUUAUAAGGGAAUAAAGUGUGGGACGUGUCCUAUUUUGUAUGUACCUUAUGAAUAAGGAUCGGCUAACUCCGUGCCAGCAGCCGCGGUAAUACGGAGGAUCCGAGCGUUAUCCGGAUUUAUUGGGUUUAAAGGGUGCGUAGGCGGCCUUUUAAGUCAGCUGUGAAAGUCUGUGGCUCAACCAUAGAAUUGCCGUUGAAACUGGGGGGCUUGAGUAUGUUUGAGGCAGGCGGAAUGCGUGGUGUAGCGGUGAAAUGCGUAGAGAUCACGCAGAAUCCCGAUGGCGAAGGCAGCCUGCCAAGCCAUGACUGACGCUGAGGCACGAAAGCGUGGGGAUCAAACAGGAUUAGAUACCCCAGUAGUC